UCCCGCAAUGUUUUUUGUUUCUUAUUCAAUACCACGUCCAGCUGGUGGCGGUAAUGCACCAUUAACAUUGGAUGCCCAUCGUUAACCCGCAUCGAAGAAGAAGCCAUUGAUUGGCAAGGCCAUCAGAAGCGAGAUAGAAGGCAUCUGCCAUUUAACUGUAUUAGGGCAAACUUUGUGAGGGAAUAAACCAAUCACAUUGUGACUUCUGAAGGGUGGGACCGUUUUUACAAAGACAAAUGGAAACUUCUGCCUUCUCAAAGGCCAACAGGUCACUGUGCAAUUGCAAGCUGUAGGUUUCCCACAGACGAGGACCUACUGGCUUAUUAUGUCCGAAGGAACGGACUGCUUAUCCUUUAACUGUGUUUGACUGCUGUCUUUCCAUCGGCCCUAUGCAGUGGUGUCGUGGUGCCUGGAGAAUGGGCCUGGCUCACUAGUGUGUGGGCAUGUGUCCAGGCCCACUCAUGCCCACGCCCCUGAUGCAAACAGUACACGAUGACUGACCUGUGCAUCACAAAAAGCCUUUGGACCAAACUCAUUCAAUACAUGGUUUGCAUACCCAUUGUUGCCUUAGUUAGUGUUUUCUAUCUACCCUACCGAUGACAUUCUUCUGUGAGCUCCAUGCCAAAACCAAUUGGUCUUGCUGCCUGCAGAUGAUAUUCCGCUGAAACUAGGCUAUGUGUGCUGUGCGCAUGUGACUUUAUUUCACGUACUUUGUGAUUGUGUAGGUUAAUUUGUGCAUGAUGGUACUACAUAGAUUGUACUACAUAAUUGAUAAGUCAUAAAGUCAUAUACCUACACUACUUUGAUAUGCAUCAAUGGGGAUUAAGAAGUGAGUAUAAGCAAUGCUCACUGGGAAAAAAGGGUGGUUAUAUGAUAUAUACAGUUGAAAUUGGAAGUUUACAUACACAUAGGUUGGAGUCAUUAAAACUUGUUUUUCAACCAUCCCAAAACUAUAAUUUGUAAACAAGAAAUGUGUGGAAAGUCGGUUAGGACAUCUACUUUGUGCAUGACACAAGUCAUGUUUUCAACAAUUGUUUACAGACAGAUUAUUUCACUUAUAAAUCACUGUAUCACAAUUCCAGUGGGUCAGAAGUUUACAUACACUAAG
This is a long non-coding RNA of Oncorhynchus keta (chum salmon), 1108 nucleotides long. RefSeq lists it as uncharacterized. The transcript has 3 exons. Lineage: Eukaryota; Metazoa; Chordata; Actinopteri; Salmoniformes; Salmonidae. The record is from RefSeq and is a predicted model, not a curated record.